AUGUGCUUCCAUGUCCUCAACAACCAAACCAAACCAACAAAACAGGAGUGGAAAGAGUUCGUCUGGGUAAAAUCAUUUUGUGUGGCCUUUCAGGUUCCGGAGUCAAGAGAAAAAGAAACUAUUCCCUUGUCUCCAUUGCCUUUUUUAUUUCACUUUUCCUUUUCUCUUCUUUUCCCUCCUUUCCGGCACUUCCUCUUUUGCAUCUUCUCUCUUUCCCCCUCCUUUUCCCCAUACCUUCUUCCCUUCCCCCAAUCUGAAGCAGAAAAUUGCCAGAUUAACUUUUUUUUUUUCUCUAGUGGGAAUGACCAUGGAGAUUUCAUUGGAGUGAUAAGUCAUGUCCAUCCAUUGUUUUCUCUUUGUCCAUUCUUCUUCCAAGAAUGUUAAUCUGUGUGCUGUACCAUUUGUAGAAGCUCCAAUAGCCUUGUCAAGAAACGUGUGGGAUCGAUGAGAUGAGUGGUUACAAAGAAUGUUUUGCCUUUGCCUCUGAACUCUACUACUCUUUCCUACAGUAUAUAAACCCUUCCAAAGUUCCAUCUAAUUUCCCUCUGGAAUCUUCUUUACAUUUUUUUGUUGUUGCCAGAUUUGCUAUUGUAUAUAUUUUUAUUUUGCUGUCAGGAUAACGUUAUAGUCUCCAUAGUUAAAAAGAAUUUUUUUUUUAAUCGGACUUUGAAACCCGGAAAGUGACUUCACUAUUCUUCCACAGGUAUGCUUCUACACCUUUCUUAGAUAUUGGAAGAUACCUUCUUACCUUAAAAUUAUUAGCAGUAUUAUUCUCACUGCAGUCCCCUUCAUUUUCUACCUUUCUACCCCCCCCCCCCCCCCCGGCCUGGUGUAGGGAAAGACUCUUUGCUUUUUCCGGUAUCCCCCCCUUAUCUUGAUGCCCUUUGUUAAAAAAAAAAUGGAGGAAAGGAGGGAGACCUGGCUAAAAUCCCGCGGGCAGAACAGGUGGUGGAAGCGCAGCCUCAAGUCAGAUGAUCUCAUCUUGGGUAAACUGGGCGGAUGGUUAGGGUGGGGAGGGGGAAGAGGAGGAGGUGGAGGAAGGGUCCUACAGCACUGGCCAAAAGGUUCUCUUUGCAAAUAAUAAACUAUGUUCCUUCUUUUUCCUGCCCUCCUCA
Molecule: long non-coding RNA, 1115 nt
Filed under: Monodelphis domestica (gray short-tailed opossum)
Lineage: Eukaryota; Metazoa; Chordata; Mammalia; Didelphimorphia; Didelphidae
Description: lncRNA (ENSMODG00000051170.1)
Source: RNAcentral